RNAcentral lists this ribosomal RNA (791 nucleotides) under uncultured bacterium. RNAcentral describes it as "bacterial SSU rRNA". It matches the Rfam family "Bacterial small subunit ribosomal RNA", at positions 8 to 796 of the family's 1533-position model. The record is from RNAcentral.
AGAGUUUGAUCAUGGCUCAGGAUGAACGCUAGCGGCAGGCUUAAUACAUGCAAGUCGAGGGCAGCGCAGGCAGCAAUACUGGGCGCGACCGGCAAACGGGUGCGGAACACGUACGCAACUUACCCUUAACUAAGGAAUAGCCCAUAGAAAUGUGGAUUAAAACCUUAUAGUACGACGGACUCGCAUGAGUUAGUUGUUAAAACUCCGGUGGUUAAGGAUGGGCGUGCGUCUGAUUAGGUAGUUGGUAGGGUAACGGCCUACCAAGCCAACGAUCAGUAGCUGAUGUGAGAGCAUGAUCAGCCACACGGGCACUGAGACACGGGCCCGACUCCUACGGGAGGCAGCAGUAAGGAAUAUUGGUCAAUGGACGCAAGUCUGAACCAGCCAUGCCGCGUGAAGGAUGAAGGUCCUCUGGAUUGUAAACUUCUUUUAUCUGGGACGAAACACUGAUUUUCUAAUCAGCUUGACGGUACCAGAGGAAUAAGCACCGGCUAACUCCGUGCCAGCAGCCGCGGUAAUACGGAGGGUGCGAGCGUUAUCCGGAUUCACUGGGUUUAAAGGGUGCGUAGGCGGGUAUGUAAGUCCGUGGUGAAAUCCUGCAGCUUAACUGCAGAACUGCCGUGGAUACUAUAUAUCUUGAAUGUUGUUGAGGUGAGUGGAAUAUGUCAUGUAGCGGUGAAAUGCUUAGAGAUGACAUAGAACACCGAUUGCGAAGGCAGCUCGCUAAACAAAUAUUGACGCUGAGGCACGAAAGCGUGGGUAGCAAACAGGAUUAGAUACCCCGGUAGUCC